AACUCAUCAUGAGUGGGCGAGAGAACGGCUUGAUGACCCCACGGCAACCCCCGGAGCGCCGGGAAGGUGCCAAAUCCGCCAGAUUUCUGGAAGAUGAGAU
RNAcentral lists this non-coding RNA (100 nucleotides) under Chloroflexota bacterium. RNAcentral's name for it is "Chloroflexi bacterium SAM-I sequence". It matches the Rfam family "SAM riboswitch aptamer (S box leader)". From Rfam's summary of the family: The SAM riboswitch is found upstream of a number of genes which code for proteins involved in methionine or cysteine biosynthesis in Gram-positive bacteria. The record is from RNAcentral. Lineage: Bacteria; Bacillati; Chloroflexota.